UCCCUGCCCGUCGUUGAUGGGAGAGUCAAAAGAGGCCGAAAACUCCAGGCGGCUUGCGACACGGCAGACAAACGUCCACGAGGUCUUAUCUUCUCAGGAACCGUCCGUUCAGUCGGGUAUACGCCCGAAACUAGAAGCACGCUCUUCACUGUUUUGAAAGCAAGAAGGAGACAGAGAGAUGCCAACCUUGAACCUGUACACCAACGUGCCGGUCGACACGGUCGUCGCCUCUGACAUUCUCAAGGACGCAACCAAAGCUGUCGCUAAGAUCAUCGGCAAGCCUGAGUCUUACGUCAUGAUACUGUUGAAUGGGUCCGUGCCCAUUGCAUUUGCUGGUACUGAGGCACCGGCUGCUUAUGGUGAACUGAUAUCCAUUGGAGGCCUUGGACCCAGCGUCAACGGCAAGUUGAGUUCCACCAUUGCAGAGAUACUCGAGACUAAGCUUUCCAUUGACUGCUCCCGGUUUUACAUCAAGUUUUAUGAUGUUCAGGUCUAGGCACAACCAUUGAAUUUGCUGUGUCCGCGGAUGGAACUUGGACAUAUUUAUCUCUUGCCAAAUCCUGCUUGGAUUAUUCUUUUACCAAUUGCUCUGGCAAAGAAGUUCUGGUAAAGAGAGUUAUGAUUUCUAGAGCUAGCGAUGUGGCGUACACAUUUGCUUGCAUGUGCCAAAAGAAGAGAUCAUUUUUUGGAUUCAACGGUUCAACUUUUUGACCAGCAACAUCUGUAAGAGACCCCUGGAAUGGUCGAUGCUUUGUGCAUAAGCUCACUAUUAGAAAUACUUCUGUUGUAUCACCCCAUUUGGAGAUACCAUCACAAACUGCUCACUUGUACCUGCAUUGAAGCAACUAUAAAGUACAUUCAUGUCGUAAAUUUUGAAUAUCCUUCUUCCUAUUUUCUUCUUGUUUCAGGGGUCUUUCCCUUUGAAUUGUUAUAAGGCAUUAUUGUUCAGGCUCCCAUGCAAAUAUGAAUUUUAAGUUUAAA
Syzygium oleosum is the source of this 981-nucleotide RNA transcript. RefSeq lists it as uncharacterized. NCBI's taxonomy places the organism in Eukaryota, Viridiplantae, Streptophyta, Magnoliopsida, Myrtales, Myrtaceae. The record is from RefSeq and is a predicted model, not a curated record. The transcript is spliced from 4 exons.